Molecule: ribosomal RNA, 749 nt
Filed under: uncultured archaeon
Lineage: Archaea
Description: bacterial SSU rRNA
Rfam family: Archaeal small subunit ribosomal RNA
Source: RNAcentral
UGCUAUCGGGAUAGGACUAAGACAUGCUAGUUGAGCGCUUCCAGCCAAUACGGGAGCGCAGCGCAUAGCUCAGUAACACGUGGCUAAUCUGCCCUUGGGACCGGAACACCCCCGGGAAACUGGGGCUAAUUCUCGAUAGGUGAAGAACUCUGGAAUGAGUCUUUGCCAAAAAGACGUUUACGUUAUGCUCGUAGGCGUCGCCCAAGGAUGAGGCCGCGACCGAUCAGGUUGUUGGUGAGGUAAUGGCUCACCAAGCCUUUUACCGGUGCGGGCCGUGAGAGCGGGAGCCCGGAGAUGGGCACUGAGACAAGGGCCCAGGCCCUACGGGGCGCAGCAGUCGCGAAAACUUUGCAAUACACGAAAGUGUGACAGGGCUAUCCCGAGUGCCAUCCGCUGAGGAAGGCUUUUACCCAGUCUAGAACGCUGGGGGAAUAAGGAGAGGGCAAGUCUGGUGUCAGCCGCCGCGGUAAUACCAGCUCUCCGAGUGGUGUGGAUGUUUAUUGGGCCUAAAGCAUCCGUAGCUGGCUGAGUUAGUCCCUUGUUAAAUCCACCGAAUUAAUCGUUGGAUUGCGGGGGAUACUGCUCGGCUAGGGGACGAGAGAGGCAGACGGUAUUUCUGGGGUAGGGGUGAAAUCCUAUAAUCCCAGGAGGACCACCAGUGGCGAAAGCUGUCUGCUAGAACGCGCCCGACGGUGAGGGAUGAAAGCUGGGGGAGCGAACCGGAUUAGAUACCCGGGUAGUCCCAGCUG